This 465-nucleotide ribosomal RNA is filed under the name uncultured bacterium. RNAcentral describes it as "partial 16S ribosomal RNA". It matches the Rfam family "Bacterial small subunit ribosomal RNA", at positions 28 to 507 of the family's 1533-position model. The record is from RNAcentral.
GACGAACGCUGGCGGCACGCUUAACACGUGCAAGUCGAACGAGAGAAGAGAAGCUUGCUUUUCUGAUCUAGUGGCGGACGGGUGAGUAACACGUGAGCAAUCUGCCUUUCAGAGGGGGAUACCGAUUGGAAACGAUCGUUAAUACCGCAUAACAUAAUUGAACCGCAUGAUUUGAUUAUCAAAGAUUUAUCGCUGAAAGAUGAGCUCGCGUCUGAUUAGCUAGUUGGUAAGGUAACGGCUUACCAAGGCGACGAUCAGUGGCCGGACUGAGAGGUUGAUCGGCCACAUUGGGACUGAGACACGGCCCAGACUCCUACGGGAGGCAGCAGUGGGGAAUUUUGCACAAUGGAGGAAACUCUGAUGCAGCGAUGCCGCGUGAGGGAAGAAGGUUUUAGGAUUGUAAACCUCUGUCUUCAGGGACGAAAAAAGACGGUACCUGAGGAGGAAGCUCCGGCUAACUACGUG